Molecule: transfer RNA, 76 nt
Filed under: Alphaproteobacteria bacterium
Lineage: Bacteria; Pseudomonadati; Pseudomonadota; Alphaproteobacteria
Description: tRNA-Lys
Rfam family: tRNA
About the family: Transfer RNA (tRNA) molecules are approximately 80 nucleotides in length. Their secondary structure includes four short double-helical elements and three loops (D, anti-codon, and T loops).
Source: RNAcentral
GGGCCCAUAGCUCAGCAGGUAGAGCAUCUGACUUUUAAUCAGAGUGUCGCUGGUUCGAACCCAGCUGGGCUCACCA